This 2491-nucleotide long non-coding RNA is filed under the name Populus trichocarpa (black cottonwood). RNAcentral's name for it is "long non-coding RNA (PTRI_LNC002672)". The record is from RNAcentral. Lineage: Eukaryota; Viridiplantae; Streptophyta; Magnoliopsida; Malpighiales; Salicaceae.
AGGCACGGGUGCACCGCGCCUCCUUCUUUGCCUUGCAGUUCUCAACCGCACAAUAGGGACAUCAUCCUGAUCAUCCUCUACUCUAACAGUAUCAGCUAUUCGUCUAUUCCUCGGCAUUUCCUAAAAUAAAAGUGAGAGCACUCAAGUCAUGCUAGAACAAUAGCAUGAUAAUUAUCACAAAAUUAUAGGAAAGCAUAUCUAUCACAAGGAAGAAGACAUGUUUGAUAAGAGUUCAAAAUUUCAAAGACAACAAACAAGACAAUACGGAUCCUAAUGCUCCACUUAUUACGAAUUUAAUUAUAUUAUUGUUUCUUUAACCUAAGGCUCUAAUACCAAGUUUGUCACGACCCGGAUCCAUGACCGGCACAUAGGCAAGGUUCUCCUCCAAGGUUCCAUACCUAUGCGAACCCAAACUUACACACAAACUUAUCCUAACUCAAUCAAAGUUCAACGCAGCAUUAACAACAAAAUCAACUUCAUAAUAUAAUUGAAUUGUCUUAAUACAAGAGUUUAUAUAAGUUCAGAGUUUUGGAGCACUAACUAGACAUAAAGGGAAAAGGUACAAUUUACAACCAAAAGAGCAGGUUCUGAAGGUCCAACAAAAUGACCUGCUAUCAAGCUAUAAGCCUGAAAAGGAUAAAUAAUGAGAUGGUGAGUUCAACAACUCAGUGAGUAGAUAACGUUCAAUAUACACAUACGAGGUAAUACAACAAUGAGAAAUAUAUAUACAAGUAUGCCUCUAGGUUCUUAUAGAAAGGUUUCUCAAAUAGGCCAUAACAAGAAUAUCAUAUGGUAAAACUCGUCAGAAAAUCAAAAUGCAAUGAGCAUGAGGCUCCGUACUGUGGGAUGAUCAGUCCACACAGGUUGGUGACUCCCCCGACCAACUAGGGUUCAGAUACGAUGUGCACAAAGACUAACACUACCCUGUUAGCAUGGGUAUUCUGACUGACAUACCAUAGGUUCAUAAUCAUAAUCAAACAGACAUAUUCAUAUCUCAAGGCUCAACUCAUGACAUCAAUCAAAUGAGGAGCUAUCAAUUCAGAAUUCAAUUCAAAAUAUAUACUGGUUCAUAUCAAGAAUUCAGAUUCAACAAUUGAUCAUGUUUUAUCAAAACAAGGAUAAUAAUCAACAUAUAUAUUAUCAAGAAGCAUGAUCCAAUUCAUAUUAACAAAUCAAAUAUUUAUAAUAUUUCUCAUGCAUAUGGAAAAUUAUCCACUCACCUGACUCGAAAGCAACAAAACUCAAAGCUGAUAUCAAAGGAAAUCCUACUGACGUCCCGCCGGUAGAAUAUCAGGAUUAUCUUAAUACAAAGAAGACAUAUUUAAGAAUGACUCAAAAGAAUAUAUAUAACCUAUUUAAUACACUUAUCUAAGGGUGUAUUCCGUAACCCUAUAUGUUUUUUUGAACUAACUAGUUAUCUUUCCUAAAAACCCAACAUUUAACGGUUUUCCCGAAAUCUAAUCCAUAAUAAAACAACUAAUAAAAUUGAUAAUAAUUCACUAAAUAACCCUCAAUUAUUCAUCAAAACAAUCUGAAAAAGGUAAUAUUACAGCUAGGGACUAAUCUGUAAUUUAUCAUAUUUUUAGGGCCAAAUUGUAAUUUUUGUCUAAUUGGAGGACCAAACUGAAAUUUAUCAUAAAUCCAUGAAUAUACUGAAAUUCUGACCAUAAUUAAUCCUCAAUUCUGUCCAGGAUAUAUCAUUAUGCUCCAGGGACCAUUCUGGAAUUUUACCAAAUUUUUAGGGUCAAAUUGUAAUUUUUGCCAAAUUGGAGGACCAAAUUGAAAGUGUUAAAUUCUCUUAUCUAUACAAUAAUUCUGUCCAUAAUUCAUAUGUUAUUCUGUUCAGAUUCUCGGAAUAGGCUCCAGGGACCAAUCUGCAAAUUUUCCAAAGUUUGGGGACUAAACUGUAAUUUUCCAAAAUUGAGGGACCAAACCGAAAUUUUGUCAUCUUCAACCUCCAACCCAGAAUUCCAACAGAAAACCCACUGUUCUUUCCUUAUUUCUAACACAAAUUCACCAUUCAAACAAAAUCAUAACUCAAAAUCAUCAUCUUUCAAUUCAAUCUCUCAAAAUCAACCAAAUAAUCAAAUACCCACAACAAUUAACCCUACAACAUCCAAAUUAACUCAUAAAUCAAACUCAAAACACAAAUUUCAUAACCCUAACAUUUAUCAAAAUCAAAAUUAAAGCUUAAUUAACACAUAUUUAUACAUAAUCUUACCUUUUUACUUAUUUCCUUCAAUUCCUUUCUAUUUCCCUUCUAAUUUCCCUCUUUUCUCUUCUUCUUCUUCUUUCUCCCUUUCUCUCCUGCCGGUUCUCUCUCAAAAUUCAGAUCCCUCUUUCCUUUUCUUUUUCUUUUUUUUUUUACUUCCUAUUUAUAUAUAUCAUCUCUUUAUACAAUUACUAUUAUACCCCUCAUUUAAUUUAUUCCUACAUCUAAGCAUUCAAGGGCCUUGUUGCCAUUUCCUAUCUUUUAAUACAAAACAUUACA